UACGUAGGGUGCAAGCGUUGUCCGGAAUUAUUGGGCGUAAAGAGCUCGUAGGCGGUUAGUCGCGUCUGCUGUGAAAACUCGGGGCUUAACUCCGGGCCUGCAGUGGGUACGGGCUGACUAGAGUGCGGUAGGGGAGACUGGAAUUCCUGGUGUAGCGGUGAAAUGCGCAGAUAUCAGGAGGAACACCGGUGGCGAAGGCGGGUCUCUGGGCCGAUACUGACGCUGAGGAGCGAAAGCGUGGGGAGCAAACAGG
This 253-nucleotide ribosomal RNA is filed under the name uncultured bacterium. RNAcentral's name for it is "partial 16S ribosomal RNA". It matches the Rfam family "Bacterial small subunit ribosomal RNA", at positions 524 to 776 of the family's 1533-position model. The record is from RNAcentral.